GCAAAUGAUGAUAAUUUGUCUUCUUGAUAGGAAGUGCCAACUGACACAUAAAUGAAGCUAAGUUACUUAACUGAAAGCA
RNAcentral lists this small nucleolar RNA (79 nucleotides) under Drosophila mojavensis. RNAcentral describes it as "snoRNA:GI25312". Lineage: Eukaryota; Metazoa; Arthropoda; Insecta; Diptera; Drosophilidae. The record is from RNAcentral.